Molecule: ribosomal RNA, 459 nt
Filed under: uncultured bacterium
Lineage: Bacteria
Description: partial 16S ribosomal RNA
Rfam family: Bacterial small subunit ribosomal RNA
Source: RNAcentral
CCUACGGGAGGCUGCAGUGAGGAAUAUUGGUCAAUGGCCGCAGGGCUGAACCAGCCAAGUCGCGUGAGGGAUGACGGUCCUAUGGAUUGUAAACCUCUUUUGUCAGGGAGCAAAGGGCGCCACGUGUGGCGCUUUGCGAGUACCUGAAGAAAAAGCAUCGGCUAACUCCGUGCCAGCAGCCGCGGUAAUACGGAGGAUGCGAGCGUUAUCCGGAUUUAUUGGGUUUAAGGGGUGCGCAGGCGGAAUGUCAAGUCAGCGGUAAAAUUUCGGGGCUCAACCCCGUCGUGCCGUUGAAACUGGCGUUCUUGAGUGAGCGAGAAGUAUGCGGAAUGCGUGGUGUAGCGGUGAAAUGCAUAGAUAUCACGCAGAACCCCGAUUGCGAAGGCAGCAUACCGGUGCACAACUGACGCUCAGGCACGAAAGCGUGGGUAUCGAACAGGAUUAGAUACCCUUGUAGUC